RNAcentral lists this long non-coding RNA (517 nucleotides) under Marmota monax (woodchuck). The record is from RNAcentral. Lineage: Eukaryota; Metazoa; Chordata; Mammalia; Rodentia; Sciuridae.
GGAGAACAGCAGCCGAUUUGGAUUCCAGAGAGAUUAACUAAAGCGAUUUCUACAGACCAAAAAGAAGAUGAUUUGGCUCAAAUCCAUAACAGCUGAUAUCCAAAACUCCAGUUUGGCUAUCCUUACAUCUGAGACAGAACCAGGAUGCUUUUUUCAAUAUCUAUUUUAUUAUUGCCCUUUCCCACAUCAUGAAGUUCUAUUUUGUUUUUUGAGCUCAUACAGACCUAGGUUAAUGUUUUGCUGAUCAGUUCUAUUUUUUGACUAUAGAGUUUUUAAACAUUGCAAUGGAGAUUUCACCUGUAAAAAGUUAUAAGGCCUUUACUAUUAUGUUAUGUGUUGUAUGUAUUAUAUUAUGUGUGCACACUUGUGUUUUGUGUUAUAUGUUUGAAUGUACAUAUGUCCAUAUAUCAUAUAUGAUGAGCGCUCAUGAAAAAAUGGAUCCAAAUAUUUUUUUUUUAUUCACAUGAUUUAAAUGGUUUAAUUUAAAUUGGGUAAACAACUGUUGAGGAUUGUUUUA